AAGGGUAAUUCCAUGCACACACACUAUUCAAGAUCAAAGGCCAAAGACACAACCAGAGACUGGAGAAGAAGAAUCAGGAGGCAGCCAAGCUAAUGGUGUGGGGGUGGGGAGGGGCUGUUGGUUGGGAGCGGUGGCUGGCAAAAGCAGCUUUGGGCUCCACACCAGUGCUUCUUCUGCUAAUCUUAAGACUUAAACCCAGCACUGAUUGUGAUGCUUAAGACCUAAAAACACUUCAUUGCCAGCCUUGAAGGAAAUCAGACAAUGAGACCAGAAAACAUGAAAUAGAUGUUUCUUCUCCUAAGUAUCCAUAGGAAUUUGCCUCACAGCCCUCAAAUACCAAAUGUCAUAAGGAAGAAUUAGAACCAAUAGGAGGAACCACAAGAAAGAGGCCUCUAUGGAAGAAAUGGAGGUGAGAAUUGAGGGGAGAGGGAGAGAGAGUAUGGAUGAGGUCAAUGUGAAUUUUAGAGUCCAGGGAGAUUUUUUUUUUUCUGUAGUGAUUUCUGAAAAUGAUGUGUGAAGUUUUAUUACAUUUAUGCAAAUCAGCUCUGGAGAUUAAAAAUGUUGGAUGUGACUAAUCAUACUGGCUGUUUUCAGAACAACUUGUUAUAUAGUUGAAUUUUUUUUUUCUUUUUUAACUUUCCAUAACAGAAUUUGAAAUCCCCAGAGCCCAUUAGAAUUACUUCAGAGAACCAUCAAAUAACAAUGUUAUAAUCAAUCAAUCAACAAACAUUUAUUAAGCACCUACUAUGUGCUUGGGGGUACAAAGAGAGGCAAAAGAUAGUCCCUGCUCUCAAGGAGCUUGAUAUGAUGGGGGAGACAACACAUAAAAAGGAUGUAUCAAGGGGGAAGAUAGCUGGCAUGGAGGCAUGAUGAAGUUCAGAGGAUUGUAGCUGGGUAGAAAAUAAAGAAAUAGCUGCCCUAGGUGCCCUCCUUAAA
RNAcentral lists this long non-coding RNA (936 nucleotides) under Phascolarctos cinereus (koala). Its description in RNAcentral is "lncRNA (ENSPCIG00000003907.2)". The record is from RNAcentral. Lineage: Eukaryota; Metazoa; Chordata; Mammalia; Diprotodontia; Phascolarctidae.